RNAcentral lists this ribosomal RNA (497 nucleotides) under uncultured bacterium. RNAcentral describes it as "partial 16S ribosomal RNA". It matches the Rfam family "Bacterial small subunit ribosomal RNA", at positions 28 to 507 of the family's 1533-position model. The record is from RNAcentral.
GAUGAACGCUGGCGGCGUGCCUAAUACAUGCAAGUCGAGCGAACAGACGAGGAGCUUGCUCCUCUGACGUUAGCGGCGGACGGGUGAGUAACACGUGGAUAACCUACCUAUAAGACUGGGAUAACUUCGGGAAACCGGAGCUAAUACCGGAUAAUAUAUUGAACCGCAUGGUUCAAUAGUGAAAGACGGUUUUGCUGUCACUUAUAGCUGGAUCCGCGCCGCAUUAGCUAGUUGGUAAGGUAACGGCUUACCAAGGCAACGAUGCGUAGCCGACCUGAGCGGGUGGUCGGCCACACUGGAACGGAGACGCGGUCCAGACUCCUACGGGAGGCAGCAGUAGGGAAUCUUCCGCAAUGGGCGAAAGCCUGACGGAGCAACGCCGCGUGAGUGAUGAAGGUCUUCGGAUCGUAAAACUCUGUUAUUAGGGAAGAACAAAUGUGUAAGUAACUAUGCACGUCUUGACGGUACCUAAUCAGAAAGCCACGGCUAAGUACGUG